UGUAUCAUGAGUGUCUGGUGGGGAGAGACUGUAUCAUGAGUGUCUGGUGGGGUGAGACUGUAUCAUGAGUGUCUGGUGGGGUGAGACUGUAUCAUGAGUGUCUGGAGGGGUGAGACUGUAUCAUGAGUGUCUGGUGGGGAGAGACUGUAUCAUGAGUGUCUGGUGGGGUGAGACUGUAUCAUGAGUGUCUGGUGGGGUGAGACUGUAUCAUGAGUGUCUGGAGGGGUGAGACUGUAUCAUGAGUGUCUGGAGGGGUGAGACUGUAUCAUGAGUGUCUGGUGGGGUGAGACUGUAUCAUGAGUGUCUGGUGGGGUGAGACUGUAUCAUGAGUGUCUGGAGGGGUGAGACUGUAUCAUGAGUGUCUGGAGGGGUGAGACUGUAUCAUGAGUGUCUGGUGGGGAGAGACUGUAUCAUGAGUGUCUGGAGGGGUGAGACUGUAUCAUGAGUGUCUGGAGGGGUGAGACUGUAUCAUGAGUGUCUGGUGGGGAGAGACUGUAUCAUGAGUGUCUGGAGGGGUGAGACUGUAUCAUGAGUGUCUGGUGGGGAGAGACUGUAUCAUGAGUGUCUGGUGGGGUGAUUCGUACUGCCGAGUCUUGUGUCAGUUUCCGUCUUUAUAACUGAGUGUCCAGUGUUGGUGCUGUCUUUUUUUUUUUUUUUUUACGUUGCUGCUUAUUGCGCCGUUAGGCUUUUUCACUGGUGGAGCCUGAUGGUCGGCCCAGCCCGUUGUGGCACAUCCGAAUGUUUAUAGUGGCGCCAUCUUAUUUUGGGUCAUACUGCCCCCCGGAGCUCAUCUUUGAGCCUCUCUUUAGAGAGGUUAUCUAGAGUCCGGGUUGAUAGAUGGUCUUCAGGGCAGCAUGUGGGUAGUCUUAGGCCACUCGGCGGUGACUGAAAAAUCCCAGCUAUAUGGCGGCCAGGAUUCGAACCCGCGUCCCUCCUGGUUCUCCUGGACGCGGCGCCGGCAAGCUAAUCACUCAGCCACCGCUUCCCCAUGGGGCGACUCUUGUUCAUUUUGCACAAUGACUCACAUGGUUGGGGCUUUGCACAAAAAGGACGGAAUGAUGUCAUGGCGAAAAGAGGAAAAUCGUAUUAACUAGUGAGUAAUCCUGCAUGUGACUUCCACCAACGCGCACACACACACACACACACACACACACACAUACACACCAAUUGCGAAGCAAGUGAAAUAUGAGGCAGUUCCCUCAUUUCUUGUGCAUGCGCACGUGCGUGCGUGCACAUGAAUUUCUCCUUAAUAGUAGGGCUCGUGUGCCCCUGCUAACCAUACCAUUUAAAAGCUUUUGAAUCAUACACAAAGCGAAAAAUAUGCCGAAGUAACAAUGCUAAUAAUAAUCAAUAUUCUUUAUUAUGAUAACAUAAAAAUAGUGCGCUCGUCAGGUGUUGAACAAGCGGUGGAGCAUAUAGUACUUAUACUAUUGUACUUUGGUACUGACAAAUUGAUAAGCUGUGUACCAACGUCAAAUUUGUGCUGUAAUUCUUUAAAUGAGGAGGCAGUGGUAAUGUUGAUAAUUGGCAAUUUAUCGAAUCUCAAAUCUUAAUCCCGCUCGAGCUCUUCCUCUUCAUCACAAAGACAGGGUAAGAUUUUUUUUACAGUAGUGCGUCAUCCGCUCCUUUGUGGGUUGAUUCCCAACCACGUGAGUCGCGGUGAUGUGCCACACGCGGGCAGCGGAAACCAUGCCUUCAGUUUCGCCAAACCUUCAUCUUAGCGUGAGUGACCUUCAGCUCCAUCGCUUCACUUCUUUCGCGUUGUCUCGAAUCCCUAACUGAGGCUCUCGCGACUCAGCAAAACUUCACUGCGUCGGGCAGUGGUGAUGUCACUGUCGACGGCCCCGCGAUGACACACGCGGCGGAACCAAAGCCGUCGAUGAGAUAUAAAUAGAAAUCUGAUGAUGUAUAUUUGUUAGUGAACGUUCAGCGUUGAAAUUUUAUAUUUUCUGAUAUAAAUCUGAAGUACGUUAGCAUUUUAAGGAUUGUUCCGAAUCACUUAUUAAAAAUACUUUGUUGUAUUUAAUGAAUUAUCAAUAACAUGCAAAGAAAUUUUUCAAAUGAAAUUUGUAUAGUAAUAAGUAUGUGACCAGAAUGAAUAUGUUAUUAGAUGCAUAAAAAAUAUAUAUAAUUCACCUUUCUAAAAUGAAAUAAUUACGGGGGUGAAUAUGUGUUAAUGGCGGACGAGGGCUGAAGAAGGGAAGGCGCUUUGAGGCAGAGGGAGGAGCGUAGAGCAGCAUAUAGAUGAAAAUGCAUUGGACUGAGUGUUUCUUCAGAUGCUGCGUCAGGGCACACGUAUGACAGGCAGCAAUAGCAAGAAUGGGAGCUUGUGGAAGAGGGAGAG
Molecule: long non-coding RNA, 2344 nt
Organism: Eriocheir sinensis (Chinese mitten crab)
Lineage: Eukaryota; Metazoa; Arthropoda; Malacostraca; Decapoda; Varunidae
Exons: 2
Source: RefSeq, a predicted model, not a curated record